AGAGUUUGAUCCUGGCUCAGGAUGAACGCUGGCGGCGUGCCUAAUACAUGCAAGUCGAGCGAACAGAUGAGAAGCUUGCUUCUCUGAUGUUAGCGGCGGACGGGUGAGUAACACGUGGGUAACCUACCUAUAAGACUGGGAUAACUCCGGGAAACCGGGGCUAAUACCGGAUAAUAUUUUGAACCGCAUGGUUCAAUAGUGAAAGACGGUUUCGGCUGUCACUUGUAGAUGGACCCGCGCCGUAUUAGCUAGUUGGUAAGGUAACGGCUUACCAAGGCGACGAUACGUAGCCGACCUGAGAGGGUGAUCGGCCACACUGGAACUGAGACACGGUCCAGACUCCUACGGGAGGCAGCAGUAGGGAAUCUUCCGCAAUGGGCGAAAGCCUGACGGAGCAACGCCGCGUGAGUGAUGAAGGUCUUCGGAUCGUAAAACUCUGUUGUUAGGGAAGAACAAAUUUGUUAGUAACUGAACAAGUCUUGACGGUACCUAACCAGAAAGCCACGGCUAACUACGUGCCAGCAGCCGCGGUAAUACGUAGGUGGCAAGCGUUAUCCGGAAUUAUUGGGCGUAAAGCGCGCGUAGGCGGUUUCUUAAGUCUGAUGUGAAAGCCCACGGCUCAACCGUGGAGGGUCAUUGGAAACUGGGGAACUUGAGUGCAGAAGAGGAGAGUGGAAUUCCAUGUGUAGCGGUGAAAUGCGCAGAGAUAUGGAGGAACACCAGUGGCGAAGGCGGCUCUCUGGUCUGUAACUGACGCUGAUGUGCGAAAGCGUGGAGAUCAAA
RNAcentral lists this ribosomal RNA (783 nucleotides) under uncultured bacterium. RNAcentral's name for it is "bacterial SSU rRNA". It matches the Rfam family "Bacterial small subunit ribosomal RNA", at positions 8 to 772 of the family's 1533-position model. The record is from RNAcentral.